Molecule: long non-coding RNA, 667 nt
Organism: Tupaia belangeri chinensis (Chinese tree shrew)
Lineage: Eukaryota; Metazoa; Chordata; Mammalia; Scandentia; Tupaiidae
Exons: 3
Source: RefSeq, a predicted model, not a curated record
CAGAACUGCCAGGCUAAGACCUUGGCAAAGACUCGACAGGAAACUGAACUCUAUUUGCAUAUCCUUUUAUACAUGGGAGAUUAAAAGCUUCAACCUUGAGUGAUCACAGUUUUUGAGAAUCACGAUGAGGCAUUAAAGAGAAGGAGGAGUGUCCCAAGGGAGGUGAGCUGGAGGCGAUGCAAGCAGGCUGCUAGCCCUCCUUAGCAGGUGGAAGUUUCCUCAGAUCGCAAAGAGCCUCCUUCCAGAGUGUGAAUUGGCACAGAUACCCUUCACCAUUUUCUCCUAUGAGAACAAGCAUUUCUGGCAAGACAGUAGCUCUGAUUUCUUGGCUUUUUUCCCCUUAGUUCUCCUGGAUCAGGUCCUUAUGAAUCUUAAUGGAAGAUGUCAGAGAACUGCAAGAAGAUAUUUAUUGUCGGGACCAUUUAGGGGAACUUGAUUUUCUUGGUCAAGUACUACAGUGAAAACUAACCCAUGUAGACAGCAUGGGCUGCAUGAGGAUGGACAAAUGUCACCUUCCACAGGUCUGGAGGCAUUAAGUUGGAAGGAAGAAGACCAGGAAAAUUGAAAGGAACAAAGCAAAGAAGUGAUGUUUCAAAUGAGAAUGAGAGAGUCAUUCCAAGUGUGAUCAAGGUGGAGGUGUAGAUCUAGGAGGGAGAAAGCCAAUUAG